AAGAAAAGGAAAGACAUGACCGAAAAGACUCAAAGCUGGAAAAUACUGCAAAACAUUCUUUGCUUUUACAAAAGUGCUUUUCGAAAAGCGUCCUUUUUCCGCACGAACGAUAGAUUGUACAUCUUCCUACCAGUGCUUGUUUAGUUGUCACAAUCUCUAUUCCGCAUCUUAGUCUUUUUUCAUGUUGAUCGAAGCACUCAUUUUAAUUGAAAAUCUUUUCCCCAUUUCUUCCAUUGCCGCUGUUGAGAAGCAGAGUUGUUGCCCAUCUCCAGUAGUUCCUGCCCGACGGUCGCAUCG
RNAcentral lists this long non-coding RNA (297 nucleotides) under Phoenix dactylifera (date palm). RNAcentral describes it as "long non-coding RNA (PDAC_LNC022952)". Lineage: Eukaryota; Viridiplantae; Streptophyta; Magnoliopsida; Arecales; Arecaceae. The record is from RNAcentral.